UACAGAGGGGGCAAGCGUUGUUCGGAAUUACUGGGCGUAAAGGGCGCGUAGGCGGCCUGUUAAGUCGAACGUGAAAUCCCCGGGCUCAACCCGGGAACUGCGUCCGAUACUGGCAGGCUUGAAUCCGGGAGAGGGAUGUGGAAUUCCAGGUGUAGCGGUGAAAUGCGUAGAUAUCUGGAGGAACACCGGUGGCGAAGGCGGCCUUCUGGACAGUGACUGACGCUGAGACGCGAAAGCGUGGGGAGCAAACAGG
This 253-nucleotide ribosomal RNA is filed under the name uncultured bacterium. RNAcentral's name for it is "partial 16S ribosomal RNA". It matches the Rfam family "Bacterial small subunit ribosomal RNA", at positions 524 to 776 of the family's 1533-position model. The record is from RNAcentral.